UACGGAGGGUGCAAGCGUUAAUCGGAAUUACUGGGCGUAAAGCGCGCGUAGGCGGCUAAAUCAGUCGGGUGUGAAAGCCCCGGGCUCAACCUGGGAACUGCAUUCGAUACUGUUUAGCUUGAGUAUGGGAGAGGGUAGUGGAAUUCCACGUGUAGCGGUGAAAUGCGUAGAUAUGUGGAGGAACACCCGUGGCGAAGGCGACUGCCUGGCCCAAUACUGACGCUGAGGUGCGAAAGCGUGGGUAGCGAACAGG
Molecule: ribosomal RNA, 253 nt
Filed under: uncultured bacterium
Lineage: Bacteria
Description: partial 16S ribosomal RNA
Rfam family: Bacterial small subunit ribosomal RNA
Source: RNAcentral